RNAcentral lists this long non-coding RNA (211 nucleotides) under Lathyrus oleraceus (garden pea). RNAcentral's name for it is "Pisum sativum (pea) long non-coding RNA (PSAT_LNC013633)". Lineage: Eukaryota; Viridiplantae; Streptophyta; Magnoliopsida; Fabales; Fabaceae. The record is from RNAcentral.
UUUUGAUAAACAUUGCAUCAUGACACAUAAGGGCUUUACAGGUACAUGCUUAAUAAACAUUUAAAAUUGCUGUAAAUUUUAAGUGCUUUGGAUCGUCUAUUCAGAACAGAUACCCUCGGGGCAUUUCCUUAAAAUUCCCUGCAGAUGAUCGUGAAUAUCUUCCCCAGUGAAGUCGCCAACAGACGAAUCCGGUGUCUUAUCCCUGCAGAGC